AGAGCUUGCUUUCUCGAGCGAGUGGCGAACGGGUGAGUAACGCGUGAGGAACCUGCCUCAAAGAGGGGGACAACAGUUGGAAACGACUGCUAAUACCGCAUGACACAUAGGUGUCGCAUGGCACUUAUGUCAAAGAUUUAUCGCUGAAAGAUGGCCUCGCGUCUGAUUAGAUAGUUGGCGGGGUAACGGCCCACCAAGUCGACGAUCAGUAGCCGGACUGAGAGGUUGACCGGCCACAUUGGGACUGAGACACGGCCCAGACUCC
RNAcentral lists this ribosomal RNA (265 nucleotides) under uncultured Oscillibacter sp. RNAcentral's name for it is "partial 16S ribosomal RNA". It matches the Rfam family "Bacterial small subunit ribosomal RNA", at positions 75 to 339 of the family's 1533-position model. Lineage: Bacteria; Bacillati; Bacillota; Clostridia; Eubacteriales; Oscillospiraceae. The record is from RNAcentral.